RNAcentral lists this unclassified non-coding RNA (327 nucleotides) under rhizosphere metagenome. RNAcentral describes it as "partial ribosomal RNA internal transcribed spacer region". The record is from RNAcentral.
GUAGGUGAACCUGCGGAAGGAUCAUUAACAAAUCAGUUUAUUGUGUGUGUGUGUGUGUGUGUGUGUUGUGUGAUGUGUUUAAUAGCACAUCAUCACAUCCCAUCACAUUACAUUGCAUCACAUCAAUAUAUUAACCCGAACCCGUGCAGCAAUGCCGGGCAAGGUGUGUGCUCUGGGGCCUUUGCGGGCCUUGGGGUGCGCGGUGAAGACUAUGGGGGUGUCGCAAGAUGCGCCUCGUCCGAUCCACAUAGACGCUUGUAUAUGUUUGACAGAGUUAGUUGACACUUUUAAAAAUGACAACUUUUAACAAUGGAUCUCUUGGCUCUU